GACAUCACCCGUAUCAACUGAAUGACCACUGACUUCUUUUACUGAUUAAGUAAGUAACAAUUUACCAAACUCUAUUUGCGGAUAGUUGUUUAAGCAAUUAGUGUAUGGCUGAAUUCUUAUGAAACUAAUGAAGAGAGGAAUGAACAAAUAACAUAUCCUUUUUGAAACUAGAAGACGAUAGAUUGAUAAUUGACAUGGUUUCCAUCAGCUUUUCUAUUAUUAUUAAUAUGUCUAUUUAAGGAAUUCUUCACUUGUGAUUAUCUUCUCUUAGCUGGUGGUUGUUUGACUUAUUUGUGUUAUGAUUCAUGAUACAUAUCAGGUUAUUAUUUGUUUGUUGGAUUGAUGAUGGAAAACUGUAUUGCUUUUUGGGGAUCUGUCAUGAACAAGAUACUAAAACUUUUCCCUGUGAAGUGGAAAAUUUGAUGUUUCAGCACAAUGAUGACCAGUUCCGUUUAGUAGAUUCUAGUAAAGAUACUGAUUUGGUUGAUAAAACAGGGAAAGAUGAACUUCUAUAUCCACUACAAGUAGUUGAGAGAUAAAAUUAUUAGCAAGUUUAAAAUGCUCAAUUUACAGAACUAACUCUUCAUAGUUAUACAUCCAUGAUUUGAAUUGCAACAUUAGUAUAGGUUCAAGUCCAACAACAGUUGAUUUCCUACUUGUAGCUCUGCGGGUAGGAUUUGAAUUUCAGGGAAAAGAAGCGUAUUAUACAUAGAGUUUUACUCCUGACAGCAAUCUUCCAAUCGACAACUCUUCUUUUCAUAAAAGCUAUCAGAAAAUUAAGUGAAAAUGGUACAUAGAAACUAGCCUUUAAGAUAUAUUAUCUCUGUGAUGCCAAUUUCUCAGGUGUUGCAAUGUUUUUUGUUUUAUCCAGUGCUGGUCAUAGGGGAGGUAAGCCUGGAUUGAGUGAUCAUACACUAAUGCACUCAUAUCAGCAAGGUCAUCUAUGAAAUUGUAAUGAUAUGAGAUGUCGUAACUGAUUUCUCUGAUGGCUGGGUUCAAUUGCUUGAGUUUCUUCUCAUACAACGCACAAAUUCCAUCCAUUGCUUGACUUAUUUACUCGUAAUCCAUGAAAGUGCGAGUUGCUCAGUUUUGAGAUGUGUGUGUGAGAACAAUAGUGUGAUUGUUUGCCAUUUUACGAAUGAAUAAGGAUUGAGCUUGUAUUUGCUGAAAUUUUGAAGCAGUGAAUCAGAAACUCUGUUUAGGCAGCUGCAGCGACGUCUUUGCUGGCAAUAGAAUUAUUUAAAAGAUUACAACCUUCUUAAUCUGUGUUGUUUCCAUUUUAUACAAAUACCAUAGCAUUCACACAUCUUUUUCCUCUGUUUUUUUAGUUUUGUACAACUGUGUGUGCAUGUUUUUUUAUUUUCUGCACAACUAUGCAUAGUGACUGUAGUCUACAGCUUUCUGGUAUUUCAUGCAGCCUAUAGUUUUCUGGGAUUUAAUGCAUUUAUAAUGAAUGUAAUUUGUAGACAUUUUAUCAGACUUGGGAUACACUAUCAAAGUUUUCUUACUCCUUUUUUUUUAGUUUAAAAUUUUCAGCUUUAUUGAUAUGAAAAGAGAACAAUUACAGCGUGCCCAAUGCCCAAAUUCAAUUAACAAACUAAACAAGAUAGGGCCUCCCUUACCAUUAUCCCAGUUUUGGUGUUACUCUUAUGUAUAGGAUGUUUAAUUUGUCACUGUUCACUAUCCUUCUUCCUCUUGUAUCCAACGUUUUGAGACUGUGAAUAUGCAAUUACCAUUCUCAAUUGCCCUGUUUGCUAGGUGAUCUGCUAGCUGAUUUCCUUCCCUUAAUAUGUGCUGAAAAAUAUGUUGUUUUCCUUCCAAGCAUGUCCUUAUUUCCUCCACUACAUCUGAUAUGCUCCAUGGUAUCGCCCAUUCCCCUGUAAGCACUUUUUUCAGUAGCAUCGAAUCUGUUUUGGAUGAUAACUUUAUUGAGAUUUCUCUGUUUACAAUGCUUGCUAGCUUCUAGUAUCGUUUUUGCUUCCGUCACUAUGCUUGUUGCAUUCUCAAUAGUUACCCCUUCGGCAUGUAUGAUAUCCACUCUUUCAUCCCUCAAGCAAAAAGCAUAGGAACUUAAUCCUGGGUUUCCUCUUGAAGCACCAUCCGUAUUAUAUUUAUUAAUCCAUCCUUCUGGGGGACAUUCCCAUUUAACUUUCUUUGCCGCCAUUCCCGUGCAAUAUUCCUCCAACUCUUUGAUCAUUACUUCCCAUCUACCAGACACAUUCAUCCAUGGUCUUCUUACUUUGAUUAAUCUAUACAUGCUUCUGGUUACAUUGUGGAUUAUCCUUGAUAAUGAUAGAUCCUUUCCCUUUAUGUUUUUUCUUGUUUCUUCUUCUCCAUAGCUCCAUAUAAUAAAGCUUGGAAGUGCUCUAAAAUAUGGUCGCAUAUCAGUUUUGCAUUGUGCUCCCCACCAUUUCAUGAUGAUUUCUCGCAGUGAAAGUCCUACUGCAUUGAUACCUGUAAAAGAAAAGAAGUAUGACCAAGUCCUAUUAGCACAAUUUUUCUUACUCUAAAAUACGGUCGCAUAUCAAAGUUUUCUUACUCAAUUUUUCUUAUAUGUUCUUGCAGCUUGUUAAUAUUUUUGGAUAACCCUUGGUGAAUUUCGGUGUACUUUUGUGAAGAUGGAAGCUACAAGUCAAGAUGCAAGUAUAGAAGAUGCACAAGACUAUCAUUAUUUUGCUCGAGAUAUUGUUAAUUUGCUAACCCUUUUUUUGUUAAACAAAUAUUGAAACUAACACCAUGG
Molecule: long non-coding RNA, 2740 nt
Filed under: Solanum tuberosum (potato)
Lineage: Eukaryota; Viridiplantae; Streptophyta; Magnoliopsida; Solanales; Solanaceae
Description: long non-coding RNA (STUB_LNC011336)
Source: RNAcentral